This 497-nucleotide ribosomal RNA is filed under the name uncultured bacterium. Its description in RNAcentral is "partial 16S ribosomal RNA". It matches the Rfam family "Bacterial small subunit ribosomal RNA", at positions 28 to 507 of the family's 1533-position model. The record is from RNAcentral.
GAUGAACGCUGGCGGCGUGCCUAAUACAUGCCAGUCGAGCGAACAGACGAGGAGCUUGCUCCUCUGACGUUAGCGGCGGACGGGUGAGUAACACGUGGAUAACCUACCUAUAAGACUGGGAUAACUUCGGGAAACCGGAGCUAAUACUGGAUAAUAUAUUGAACCGCAUGGUUCAAUAGUGAAAGACGGUUUUGCUGUCACUUAUAGAUGGAUCCGCGCCGCAUUAGCUAGUUGGUAAGGUAACGGCUUACCAAGGCAACGAUGCGUAGCCGACCUGAGAGGGUGAUCGGCCACACUGGAACUGAGACACGGUCCAGACUCCUACGGGAGGCAGCAGUAGGGAAUCUUCCGCAAUGGGCGAAAGCUUGACGGAGCAACGCCGCGUGAGUGAUGAAGGUCUUCGGAUCGUAAAACUCUGUUAUUAGGGAAGAACAAAUGUGUAAGUAACUAUGCACGUCUUGACGGUACCUAAUCAGAAAGCCACGGCUAACUACGUG